GAUGAACGCUGGCGGCGUGCCUAAUACAUGCAAGUCGAGCGAACAGACGAGGAGCUUGCUCCUCUGACGUUAGCGGCGGACGGGUGAGUAACACGUGGAUACCCUACCUAUAAGUCUGGGAUCACUUCGGGAAACCGGAGCUAAUACCGGAUAACCUGUUGAACCGCAUGGUUCAACAGUGAAAGACGGUCUUGCUGUCUCUUCUAGCUGGAUCCGCGCCGCAUUAGCUAGUUGGUAAGGUAACGGCUUACCAAGGCAACGAUGCGUAGCCGACCUGAGAGGGUGAUCGGCCACACUGGAACUGAGACACGGUCCAGACUCCUACGGGAGGCAGCAGUAGGGAAUCGGCCGCAAUGGGCGAAAGCCUGACGGAGCAACGCCGCGUGAGUGAAGAAGGUCUUCGGAUCGUAAAACUCUGUUAUUAGGGAAGAACAAAUGUGUAAGUAACUAUGCACGUCUUGACGGUACCUAAUCAGAAAGCCACGGCUAACUACGUG
RNAcentral lists this ribosomal RNA (497 nucleotides) under uncultured bacterium. Its description in RNAcentral is "partial 16S ribosomal RNA". It matches the Rfam family "Bacterial small subunit ribosomal RNA", at positions 28 to 507 of the family's 1533-position model. The record is from RNAcentral.